This 473-nucleotide ribosomal RNA is filed under the name unidentified nematode Sourhope farm. RNAcentral's name for it is "SSU rRNA". It matches the Rfam family "Eukaryotic small subunit ribosomal RNA", at positions 58 to 529 of the family's 1831-position model. The record is from RNAcentral. Lineage: Eukaryota; Metazoa; Nematoda.
UCUAAGCACAAGCCCAAGAAUGGUAAAGCCGCGAAUGGCUCAUUACAACAGCCAUAGUUUACUGGAUCUUACAUUCCUACUUGGAUAACUGUGGUAAUUCUAGAGCUAAUACACGCACGAAAGCUCUGACCUUACGGAAGGAGCGCAUUUAUUAGAACAAAACCAAUCGGAACGCAAGUUCCGCCAAUUGGUGAAUCUGAAUAACUUUGCCGAUCGCAUGGUCUCGUACCGGCGACGUAUCUUUCAAAUGUCUGCCUUAUCAACUUUAGAUGGUAGUUUACACGCCUACCAUGGUUGUAACGGGUAACGGAGAAUAAGGGUUCGACUCCGGAGAGGGAGCCUGAGAAAUGGCUACCACAUCCAAGGAAGGCAGCAGGCACGCAAAUUACCCACUCCCGGCACGGGGAGGUAGUGACGAAAAAUAACGAGGCGGUUCUCUACGAGGCCCGCCAUCGGAAUGGGUACAAUUUAAA